This 435-nucleotide ribosomal RNA is filed under the name uncultured bacterium. RNAcentral's name for it is "partial 16S ribosomal RNA". It matches the Rfam family "Bacterial small subunit ribosomal RNA", at positions 29 to 507 of the family's 1533-position model. The record is from RNAcentral.
AGCGAACGCUGGCGGCAGGCUUAACACAUGCAAGUCGAGCGGGCACUUUCGGGUGUCCGCGGCGGACGGGUGAGUAACGCGUGGGAACGUGCCCUCUGGUUCGGAAUAACUCAGGGAAACUUGAGCUAAUACCGGAUACGCUCUUUUGGGGAAAGGCUUGCUGCCGGAGGAUCGGCCCGCGUCUGAUUAGCUAGUUGGUGAGGUAACGGCUCACCAAGGCGACGAUCAGUAGCUGGUCUGAGAGGAUGAUCCGCCACACUGGGACUGAGACACGGCCCAGACUCCUACGGGAGGCAGCAGUGGGGAAUAUUGGACAAUGGGCGCAAGCCUGAUCCAGCCAUGCCGCGUGAGUGAUGAAGGCCUUAGGGUUGUAAAGCUCUUUUAUCCGGGACGAUAAUGACGGUACCGGAGGAAUAAGCCCCGGCUAACUUCGUG